RNAcentral lists this ribosomal RNA (253 nucleotides) under uncultured bacterium. Its description in RNAcentral is "partial 16S ribosomal RNA". It matches the Rfam family "Bacterial small subunit ribosomal RNA", at positions 524 to 776 of the family's 1533-position model. The record is from RNAcentral.
GACAGAGGGGGCAAGCGUUGCUCGGAAUCACUGGGCGUAAAGGGCGCGUAGGCGGGAUGGCAAGUCGGUCGUGAAAUCCUUCGGCUCAACCGAAGAACGUCGGCCGAUACUGCCGUUCUUGAGGGAUGCAGAGGAGAUUGGAAUUCCCGGUGUAGCGGUGAAAUGUGUAGAGAUCGGGAGGAACACCGGUGGCGAAGGCGGUCUGCUGGGCAGUUGCUGACACUGAGGCGCGACAGCGUGGGGAGCAAACAGG